RNAcentral lists this ribosomal RNA (274 nucleotides) under uncultured bacterium. RNAcentral describes it as "partial 16S ribosomal RNA". It matches the Rfam family "Bacterial small subunit ribosomal RNA", at positions 523 to 796 of the family's 1533-position model. The record is from RNAcentral.
AUACGGAGGGUGCGAGCGUUAAUCGGAAUUACUGGGCGUAAAGCGCGCGUAGGCGGUUUGGUCAGUCGGAUGUGAAAGCCCCGGGCUUAACCUGGGAAUUGCAUUCGAUACUGCCAGGCUAGAAUGUAGUAGAGGGAAGUGGAAUUCCGGGUGUAGCGGUGAAAUGCGUAGAUAUCCGGAGGAACAUCAGUGGCGAAGGCGACUUCCUGGACUAACAUUGACGCUGAGGUGCGAAAGCGUGGGGAGCAAACAGGAUUAGAUACCCCAGUAGUCC